AGAGUUUGAUCAUGGCUCAGAUUGAACGCUGGCGGCAGGCCUAACACAUGCAAGUCGAACGGUAACAGGAAGCAGCUUGCUGCUUCGCUGACGAGUGGCGGACGGGUGAGUAAUGUCUGGGAAACUGCCUGAUGGAGGGGGAUAACUACUGGAAACGGUAGCUAAUACCGCAUAACGUCGCAAGACCAAAGAGGGGGACCCUCGGGCCUCUUGCCAUCGGAUGUGCCCAGAUGGGAUUAGCUUGUUGGUGGGGUAACGGCUCACCAAGGCGACGAUCCCUAGCUGGUCUGAGAGGAUGACCAGCCACACUGGAACUGAGACACGGUCCAGACUCCUACGGGAGGCAGCAGUGGGGAAUAUUGCACAAUGGGCGCAAGCCUGAUGCAGCCAUGCCGCGUGUAUGAAGAAGGCCUUCGGGUUGUAAAGUACUUUCAGCGGGGAGGAAGGGAGUAAAGUUAAUACCUUUGCUCAUUGACGUUACCCGCAGAAGAAGCACCGGCUAACUCCGUGCCAGCAGCCGCGGUAAUACGGAGGGUGCAAGCGUUAAUCGGAAUUACUGGGCGUAAAGCGCACGCAGGCGGUUUGUUAAGUCAGAUGUGAAAUCCCCGGGCUCAACCUGGGAACUGCAUCUGAUACUGGCAAGCUUGAGUCUCGUAGAGGGGGUAGAAUUCCAGGUGUAGCGGUGAAAUGCGUAGAGAUCUGGAGGAAUACCGGUGGCGAAGGCGGCCCCCUGGACGAAGACUGACGCUCAGGUGCGAAAGCGUGGGGAGCAAACAGGAUUAGAUACCCUGGUAGUCCACGCCGUAAACGAUGUCGACUUGGAGGUUGUGCCCUUGAGGCGUGGCUUCCGGAGCUAACGCGUUAAGUCGACCGCCUGGGGAGUACGGCCGCAAGGUUAAAACUCAAAUGAAUUGACGGGGGCCCGCACAAGCGGUGGAGCAUGUGGUUUAAUUCGAUGCAACGCGAAGAACCUUACCUGGUCUUGACAUCCACGGAAGUUUUCAGAGAUGAGAAUGUGCCUUCGGGAACCGUGAGACAGGUGCUGCAUGGCUGUCGUCAGCUCGUGUUGUGAAAUGUUGGGUUAAGUCCCGCAACGAGCGCAACCCUUAUCCUUUGUUGCCAGCGGUCCGGCCGGGAACUCAAAGGAGACUGCCAGUGAUAAACUGGAGGAAGGUGGGGAUGACGUCAAGUCAUCAUGGCCCUUACGACCAGGGCUACACACGUGCUACAAUGGCGCAUACAAAGAGAAGCGACCUCGCGAGAGCAAGCGGACCUCAUAAAGUGCGUCGUAGUCCGGAUUGGAGUCUGCAACUCGACUCCAUGAAGUCGGAAUCGCUAGUAAUCGUGGAUCAGAAUGCCACGGUGAAUACGUUCCCGGGCCUUGUACACACCGCCCGUCACACCAUGGGAGUGGGUUGCAAAAGAAGUAGGUAGCUUAACCUUCGGGAGGGCGCUUACCACUUUGUGAUUCAUGACUGGGGUGAAGUCGUAACAAGGUAACCGUAGGGGAACCUGCGGUUG
RNAcentral lists this ribosomal RNA (1521 nucleotides) under Escherichia coli O15:H11. RNAcentral's name for it is "bacterial SSU rRNA". It matches the Rfam family "Bacterial small subunit ribosomal RNA". Lineage: Bacteria; Pseudomonadati; Pseudomonadota; Gammaproteobacteria; Enterobacterales; Enterobacteriaceae. The record is from RNAcentral.